Molecule: ribosomal RNA, 497 nt
Filed under: uncultured bacterium
Lineage: Bacteria
Description: partial 16S ribosomal RNA
Rfam family: Bacterial small subunit ribosomal RNA
Source: RNAcentral
GAUGAACGCUGGCGGCGUGCCUAAUACAUGCAAGUCGAGCGAACAGACGAGGAGUUUGCUCCUCUGACGUGAGCGGCGGAGGGGUGAGUAACAUGUGGAUAACCUAUCUAUAAGACUGGGAUAACUCCGGGAAACCGGUGAUAACACCGGAUAAUAUAUUGUAACACAUGGUUCAAUUGUGAACGACGGCUUUGCUGUUACUCAUAGACUGAUCCGCGCCGCAUUAGCUAGUUGGUAAGGUAACGGCUUACCAAGGCGACGAUCAGUAGCCGGCCUGAGAGGAUGAUCAGCCACACUGGAACUGAGACACGGCCCAGACUCCUACGGGAGGCAGCAGUGGGGAAUCUUCCACAAUGGGCGAAAGCCUGACGGAGCAACGCCGCGUGUGUGAUGAAGGUCUUCGGAUCGUAAAGCUCUUUUGUUAGGAAAGAACAACUGUGUAAGUAACUGUGCGCGUCUUGACGGUACCGGAACAGAAAGCCACGGCUAACUACGUG